GACGAACGCUGGCGGCGUGCUUAACACAUGCAAGUCGAACGGAAAGGCCCUGCUUUUGUGGGGUGCUCGAGUGGCGAACGGGUGAGUAACACGUGAGUAACCUGCCCUUGACUUUGGGAUAACUUCAGGAAACUGGGGCUAAUACCGGAUAGGAGCUCCUGCUGCAUGGUGGGGGUUGGAAAGUUUCGGCGGUUGGGGAUGGACUCGCGGCUUAUGAGCUUUUUGGUGGGGUAGUGGCUUACCAAGGCUUUGACGGGUAGCCGGCCUGAGAGGGUGACAGGCCCCAUUGGGCCUGGGAUACCGCCCAGACUCCUACGGGAGGCAGCGGUGGGGAAUAUUGCACAAUGGGCGGAAGCCUGAUGCAGCAACGCCGCGUGCGGAAUGACGGCCUUCGGGUUGUAAACCGCUUUCGCCUGUGACGAAGCGUGAGUGACGGUAAUGGGUAAAGAAGCACCGGCUAACUACGUG
This 468-nucleotide ribosomal RNA is filed under the name uncultured bacterium. Its description in RNAcentral is "partial 16S ribosomal RNA". It matches the Rfam family "Bacterial small subunit ribosomal RNA", at positions 28 to 507 of the family's 1533-position model. The record is from RNAcentral.